This 497-nucleotide ribosomal RNA is filed under the name uncultured bacterium. RNAcentral describes it as "partial 16S ribosomal RNA". It matches the Rfam family "Bacterial small subunit ribosomal RNA", at positions 28 to 507 of the family's 1533-position model. The record is from RNAcentral.
GAUGAACGCUGGCGGCGUGCCUAAUACAUGCAAGUCGAGCGAACGGACCAGAAGCUUGCUUCUCUGAUUUUAUCGGCGGACGGGUGAGUAACUCGUGGAUAACCUACCUAUCAGACUGGGAUAACUUCGGGAAACCGUAGCUAAUACCGGAUAAUAUUUUGCCCCUCAUGGUUCACAAGUGAAAGACGGUCUUUCUUUCACUUAUAGAUUGCUCCGCGCUGCAUUAGCUAGUUGGUAAGGUAACGGCUUACCAAGGCAACGAUGCAUAGCCGACCUAAGAGGGUGGACGGAUACACGGGAACUGAGAAAGAGUCAAGACACCUAGGGGAGGAAGCGGCAGGGAAUCUUACGCGAGGGGGGAAAGGCGGACGGAGGAAAGCGGGGUAAGGGAUGAAGGAGUAAGGAUGGGAAAAUGAUGUAAGUAGGGAAGAACAUAUGUGUAAGUAACUGGGAACAUAAUGACGGUACCGAAUGAGAAAGCCACGGCUAACUACGUG